RNAcentral lists this ribosomal RNA (223 nucleotides) under uncultured bacterium. RNAcentral describes it as "partial 16S ribosomal RNA". It matches the Rfam family "Bacterial small subunit ribosomal RNA", at positions 1277 to 1500 of the family's 1533-position model. The record is from RNAcentral.
AAAAGACAGUCUCAGUUCGGAUUGAAGGCUGAAAUUCGCCUUCAUGAAGCCGGAAUUGCUAGUAAUGGCAGGUCAGCAUACUGCCGUGAAUACGUUCCCGGGCCUUGUACACACCGCCCGUCACACCAUGAGAGUUGGGGAUACCCGAAGCCUGUGAGCUAACUUUUAGAGGCAGCAGUCGAAGGUAGAAUCAAUGAUUGGGGUGAAGUCGUAACAAGGUAUC